GUGCCAGCAGCCGCGGUAAGACAGAGGGUGCAAACGUUGUUCGGAAUUACUGGGCGUAAAGCGCGUGUAGGUGGCAAGGCAAGUCGGGUGUGAAAGCCCCGGGCUCAACCCGGGAAGUGCAUUCGAUACUGCCAAGCUAGAGUCCCGGAGAGGAUGGUGGAACUCUCGGUGUAGAGGUGAAAUUCGUAGAUAUCGAGAAGAACACCGGUGGCGAAGGCGGCCAUCUGGACGGUGACUGACACUGAGACGCGAAAGCGUGGGGAGCAAACAGGAUUAGAUACCCCGGUAGUCC
This 292-nucleotide ribosomal RNA is filed under the name uncultured bacterium. RNAcentral's name for it is "partial 16S ribosomal RNA". It matches the Rfam family "Bacterial small subunit ribosomal RNA", at positions 505 to 796 of the family's 1533-position model. The record is from RNAcentral.